RNAcentral lists this ribosomal RNA (549 nucleotides) under uncultured bacterium. RNAcentral's name for it is "partial 16S ribosomal RNA". It matches the Rfam family "Bacterial small subunit ribosomal RNA", at positions 355 to 895 of the family's 1533-position model. The record is from RNAcentral.
UGGGGAAUUUUGGACAAUGGGGGAAACCCUGAUCCAGCCAUCCCGCGUGUGCGAUGAAGGCCUUCGGGUUGUAAAGCACUUUUGGCAGGAAAGAAACGUCGCGGGUUAAUACCCCGCGAAACUGACGGUACCUGCAGAAUAAGCACCGGCUAACUACGUGCCAGCAGCCGCGGUAAUACGUAGGGUGCAAGCGUUAAUCGGAAUUACUGGGCGUAAAGCGUGCGCAGGCGGUUCGGAAAGAAAGAUGUGAAAUCCCCAGAGCUUAACUUUGGAACUGCAUUUUUAACUACCGGGCUAGAGUGUGUCAGAGGGAGGUGGAAUUCCGCGUGUAGCAGUGAAAUGCGUAGAUAUGCGGAGGAACACCGAUGGCGAAGGCAGCCUCCUGGGAUAACACUGACGCUCAUGCACGAAAGCGUGGGGAGCAAACAGGAUUAGAUACCCUGGUAGUCCACGCCCUAAACGAUGUCAACUAGCUGUUGGGGCCUUUCGGGCCUUGGUAGCGCAGCUAACGCGUGAAGUUGACCGCCUGGGGAGUACGGUCGCAAGAUU